CGGUGGGAAUCGAAAAUAUUAUUCAUAUUAUUCCAUGGAUGGUGGAAAUGUGAACAGGAGUAUACAUUUGUUCAAAAUCUCACCGUUCCCCCGAGAUGCUCUCAGUGUGCUGUGCCUACUAGGCUGAUAUAUUGAGAAUGAGAUUUCAGUAUAUUUCUGAGGGUCUGACGGUAUUACUUAUCGAUAAAUCCACGGUCACACUAUUAGUCGCAUUGGUAACAAAAAAGUUGAAAUUCAUAUAGCUCAAAAUGGACCCUUUAAUUCAUGAUGAAACCAGUACAAAUAAUACCAAUUUGAGACGCGAUCUUCGCCGAAAGAAAGUAUUGGAUGAGGCAAAAAAACGUCUUGAAAAAUUAAAUGGCAGAGCUAAUUCACGCGAAACGGAUCUUUCCGACAAUGGAACACCAACUGUACUAUAUUCCGAUCCAGAGGUUGAACCAAAUAUCCAAAGUGGACGUAUUUUUUUGCCUGAUAGUAAAUUUUCUAAUACUGGAAAAUCAAAUAUGAUAAUAAAAAGAAAAGGUCAUAUAUUUUUAUCAUCAUGCCUGGGAUACUUAUUAGCUUUUUACACAGAAGGCAGUGUAUUUUUUCCGGUAAUUUUUUGUACAUCUUUGGAAUUAGUCUUCAGCAAAUAUAUAAAUCGAAAUAUAUCUGCACAUACCAAGUCAUUUUUUCUGUUGUCUUUGGGUACAAACUGUGGCGCCAAGAU
Drosophila obscura is the source of this 709-nucleotide RNA transcript. RefSeq lists it as uncharacterized. The transcript has 2 exons. The record is from RefSeq and is a predicted model, not a curated record. Lineage: Eukaryota; Metazoa; Arthropoda; Insecta; Diptera; Drosophilidae.